CCUGAGAAACCCGAAAGAUCGAAUGGGGAGAUUCACCGUCAGCGACGUCGGCUUUCGGCGGUUCGCGAUGCGCGCGCGCGCGGCGUCCAUUCGGGCGUCCGCGCGCGCGCGCACGCGUCCGUCGUGCCACGGCGAGCGAUCGCCGCAUGUCCGGCGGCGUCGGCGUGCACUUCUCCCCUAGUAGGACGUCGCGACCCGCUGGGUGUCGGUCUACGGCCCGGUGCGUCGCCUGUUCCGGUCGCUUCGCGGCGUCGCGGAGCAGACGCCCGGUGUAGCCCGACCGGCUGCCCGGCGGUACUCCCACGGUAUCCGGCCGCAAUCGAACUGCGUCAUUCAGGCCCGCCGCAAGCGCGGUCAGUUAAACAAUACCCGGAGGCGCGGACCCAGUGCCGUCCCCGGGACUGGCCCGCUGUUCGCAGGCGGUGUCCUCUGACAGGCCGCGCGCCGCGUCUUCCUCGUCGUUCCGUCCUCGGGCGGGCGGCGGCGGAAAGCACGCGUGCGUCACUUGAUACCGGUCGGC
Molecule: ribosomal RNA, 520 nt
Filed under: Hyptia floridana
Lineage: Eukaryota; Metazoa; Arthropoda; Insecta; Hymenoptera; Evaniidae
Description: eukaryotic LSU rRNA
Source: RNAcentral